UGGGAAACUUCAGGUCAUGCAUUUUGCCUC
This 30-nucleotide non-coding RNA is filed under the name Homo sapiens (human). The record is from RNAcentral. Lineage: Eukaryota; Metazoa; Chordata; Mammalia; Primates; Hominidae.